GACGAACGCUGGCGGCGUGCUUAACACAUGCCAGUCGAACGGAAAGGCCCCUUUGGGGGUACUCGAGUGGCGAACGGGUGAGUAACACGUGAGUAACCUGCCCUUGACUUCGGGAUAACUUCAGGAAACUGGGGCUAAUACCGGAUAGGAAUCCUUGCUGCAUGGUGGGGGUUGGAAAGCUUCGGCGGUUUUGGAUGGACUCGCGGCUUAUCAGCUUGUUGGUGGGGUAGUGGCUUACCAAGGCGUCGACGGGUAGCCGGCCUGAGAGGGCGACCGGCCACAUUGGGACUGAGAUGCGGCCCAGACUCCUACGGGAGGCAGCAGUGGGGAAUAUUGCACAAUGGGCGGAAGCCUGAUGCAGCAACGCCGCGUGCGGGAUGACGGCCUUCGGGUUGUAAACCGCUUUCAGCAGGGGCGAAGCUUGUGGUGACGGUACCUGCAGAAGAAGCACCGGCUAACUACGUG
Molecule: ribosomal RNA, 465 nt
Filed under: uncultured bacterium
Lineage: Bacteria
Description: partial 16S ribosomal RNA
Rfam family: Bacterial small subunit ribosomal RNA
Source: RNAcentral